Molecule: unclassified non-coding RNA, 167 nt
Filed under: soil metagenome
Description: partial contains 5.8S ribosomal RNA, internal transcribed spacer 2, and large subunit ribosomal RNA
Source: RNAcentral
AACUGAUACUACCUGCGGGACCUGCGGAGGGAUCAUUAGUGAACGCCCUCACGGGCUUAUAACUAUUCCAAACCUCUGUGAACCGUGCCCUUCGGGGCUAUUUUACAAACAUGGUGUAAUGAACGUCAUAUAUCAUAACAAAACAAAACUUUUAACAACGGAUCUCU